This 229-nucleotide ribosomal RNA is filed under the name uncultured Leptotrichia sp. RNAcentral's name for it is "partial 16S ribosomal RNA". It matches the Rfam family "Bacterial small subunit ribosomal RNA", at positions 125 to 354 of the family's 1533-position model. The record is from RNAcentral. Lineage: Bacteria; Fusobacteriati; Fusobacteriota; Fusobacteriia; Fusobacteriales; Leptotrichiaceae.
CUUGCCCUUUAGACUGGGAUAACAGAGGGAAACUUCUGAUAAUACUGGAUAAGUUAGUAUAUCGCAUGAUAUGCAAAUGAAAGCUACGGCACUAAAGGAGAGCUUUGCGUCCUAUUAGCUAGUUGGUAAGGUAAGAGCUUACCAAGGCGAUGAUAGGUAGCCGGCCUGAGAGGGUGGACGGCCACAAGGGGACUGAGAUACGGCCCUUACUCCUACGGGAGGCAGCAGG